Molecule: ribosomal RNA, 271 nt
Filed under: uncultured bacterium
Lineage: Bacteria
Description: partial 16S ribosomal RNA
Rfam family: Bacterial small subunit ribosomal RNA
Source: RNAcentral
UACGUAGGGGGCAAGCGUUAUCCGGAUUUACUGGGCGUAAAGCGCGCGUAGGCGGAAGUUUAAGUCUGGCCUGAAAGCCCCGGGCUCAACCUGGGAACUGCGUUUGGAACUACAAGACUAGAGUGUGUCAGAGGGGGGUGGAAUUCCGCGUGUAGCAGUGAAAUGCGUAGAGAUGCGGAGGAACACCGAUGGCGAGGGCAGCCCCCUGGGAUAACACUGACGCUCAUGCACGAAAGCGUGGGGAGCAAACAGGAUUAGAACCUACGGUAGU